Molecule: ribosomal RNA, 407 nt
Filed under: bacterium 28S122
Lineage: Bacteria
Description: bacterial SSU rRNA
Rfam family: Bacterial small subunit ribosomal RNA
Source: RNAcentral
CAGCUUUUCACUCGUGCCGUGAGGUGUUAGGUUAAGUCCUGCAACGAGCGCAACCCCUGUCACUAGUUGCCAUCAUUAAGUUGGGGACUCUAGUGAGACUGCCUACGCAAGUAGAGAGGAAGGUGGGGAUGACGUCAAAUCAUCACGGCCCUUACGCCUUGGGCCACACACGUAAUACAAUGGCCGGUACAGAGGGCAGCUACACAGCGAUGUGAUGCAAAUCUCGAAAGCCGGUCUCAGUUCGGAUUGGAGUCUGCAACUCGACUCUAUGAAGCUGGAAUCGCUAGUAAUCGCGCAUCAGCCAUGGCGCGGUGAAUACGUUCCCGGGCCUUGUACACACCGCCCGUCAAGCCAUGGAAGUCUGGGGUACCUGAAGUCGGUGACCGUAACAGGAGCUCCUCUGUCAC